GGUUGUGUAGUGUAAUGGUUAUCACAGCGGAUUCUGAUUCCGCUAAUCCCGGUUCGAUCCCGGGCACGACCU
Molecule: non-coding RNA, 72 nt
Organism: Aspergillus flavus NRRL3357
Lineage: Eukaryota; Fungi; Ascomycota; Eurotiomycetes; Eurotiales; Aspergillaceae
Source: Rfam